AUUGAACGCUGGCGGCAUGCCUUACACAUGCAAGUCGAACGGCAGCGCGGACUUCGGUCUGGCGGCGAGUGGCGAACGGGCGAGUAAUACAUCGGAACGUACCCUGUUGUGGGGGAUAACUAGUCGAAAGAUUAGCUAAUACCGCAUACGACCUGAGGGUGAAAGUGGGGGACCGGAAACGGCCUCAUGCAGCAGGAGCGGCCGAUGUCUGAUUAGCUAGUUGGUGGGGUAAAGGCCCACCAAGGCGACGAUCAGUAGCUGGUCUGAGAGGACGAUCAGCCACACUGGAACUGAGACACGGCCCAGACUCCUACGGGAGGCAGCAGUGGGGAAUUUUGGACAAUGGGGGCAACCCUGAUCCAGCAAUGCCGCGUGUGUGAAGAAGGCCUUCGGGUUGUAAAGCACUUUUGUCCGGAAAGAAAUCGCGCUGGUUAAUACCUGGCGUGGAUGACGGUACCGGAAGAAUAAGCACCGGCUAACUACGUG
Molecule: ribosomal RNA, 486 nt
Filed under: uncultured bacterium
Lineage: Bacteria
Description: partial 16S ribosomal RNA
Rfam family: Bacterial small subunit ribosomal RNA
Source: RNAcentral